UUGGGCGAAGGCCGCCUCCAGCCAGCCGUGCCUACGGACACGUUUCGGCUCCAGUUCUCCCCUCUGGUUUGCCUCCAGCUCUUGCGGACAACAUCAGCCCUCUGGGGACUUGGACUGAUUCUCCAGUUAGCGCAUACCUGUCCCACUCCUGUCUGCAAGAUUUGGAGCCCUGUCUGUGCUUCCAGUUCAGACUUCACCAGCCCUGCAGGGAGGACAAAGGCCCCUCCAGCCACCUCCUUGCUCAAGCUGCUUUCUAGAUCUCGGCCACUGCCCUAGCAAGAUGCCAGCCCCACCUGAUGUUGAUGAAGCUGCCUGAGGACAUGUGCACAUGCUCAGCCAGGAUCUCCAGCAGCUUCACUCCUGCAGCCAGGCUCAGGGGCCUGGAGAUGGGAGAAGGCAGAGGAAGGGACCACUGCAGUGCUGGGUACAGAGAGGACACCAGAGCAUCUGAGACAAGUACAGCUAUUGGAGCCAGACCACCUGGGUUUGAAUCCUGCCUUUGCUACUGAUGAAUUAUGUAACCUUGGGCAAGUUGCUGAACCUCUCCAAGCCUCAAUUCCCUCAUCAAUAAAAUGGGGAUUUAUACCUCCUAGGAUUGUUAUUAUCAUUAAAAUAACACAUAUACAUAUCAAA
This 633-nucleotide long non-coding RNA is filed under the name Homo sapiens (human). Its description in RNAcentral is "HSALNT0309070". The record is from RNAcentral. Lineage: Eukaryota; Metazoa; Chordata; Mammalia; Primates; Hominidae.